AAAACUAUAAAAGGCCAAAAUAGUUAACACUACUAAAAAAUAGGCCUAAGUCGAAAUCCUAUGUAAAACAACAUGUUUCGACACAUUAAUACAACUCAACACACUAGCCUAUUCGACACAUCCUUGUUCUGUCGAACAAUUUGUUUCGAUACAAAGAAUUACAAUUCAACAUCUUUGACUAGAUCUGUAUAUGUUAUGCUAAAUAUUAUGCGUGAUAUAUA
Molecule: long non-coding RNA, 221 nt
Filed under: Lathyrus oleraceus (garden pea)
Lineage: Eukaryota; Viridiplantae; Streptophyta; Magnoliopsida; Fabales; Fabaceae
Description: Pisum sativum (pea) long non-coding RNA (PSAT_LNC029897)
Source: RNAcentral